Molecule: RNA transcript, 5780 nt
Organism: Cebus imitator (Panamanian white-faced capuchin)
Lineage: Eukaryota; Metazoa; Chordata; Mammalia; Primates; Cebidae
Gene: SCAF8
Gene name: SR-related CTD associated factor 8
Exons: 23
Source: RefSeq, a predicted model, not a curated record
GGGUCGGCCAUAUUGGAUGCCGCAGCCGCUGCUGCCAGCGCUUCCUCCUCUGUCUUCGCCGAGCGCUGCUGGUUCCUGCGGCCCGAGCGGUGGGGAGGUGAAAAAGGAGCCUGUCGGAGGCAGGGGAAGAAGCGGGUGGAGAGUGUAGGGUACUGGGCUAGAGGGUGAGGGACCGAGACGGAGCGGGGCGGAGAAGAGAAGGCGCCGCGGCCCAGCCCCUCCCCCGCCCGCCGCCGACCCGCCCCGGCAGCGCCUCUGUUCCCCAGAACGGCGCUCCGCCCGCACUAGCGGCCAUGCCGGGGCCGCGCUGCCCCUGAGGGAGCCCUUCCCCUCCAGCGCGUGCCCUUCCACUCCGCCCCGAGGUCGCAGCGGCCCGCUCUCCCGCCGGCGCCCCCUCCUCGCGGCCACGCAGCCGCCCGCGUCUCGCUCUCCCCACCCAGCGCAGUGGCCGCCGCCUCUUCCGCCGCCGGGCUCGGGGGCCUCCGCAGCGACAACAUGGAGGCCGUGAAGACCUUCAAUAGCGAGGAUUGUGCCUCUACUCCUGCUUGUACAGACUGCUUUUCCAGCAGCAUGGACACAAGAAGCAUAUUGUAUUCCCUGAAUGACUAUAAACCACCCAUUUCUAAAGCGAAAAUGACCCAAAUUACUAAGGCAGCCAUCAAAGCUAUUAAGUUCUAUAAACAUGUGGUACAGAGUGUUGAGAAGUUUAUUCAGAAAUGUAAACCAGAAUACAAAGUACCUGGACUUUAUGUAAUUGACUCCAUUGUGCGACAGUCCCGACAUCAGUUUGGUCAAGAAAAGGAUGUGUUUGCACCCAGAUUUAGUAAUAACAUCAUUAGCACUUUCCAGAAUUUAUAUCGUUGCCCUGGGGAUGACAAGAGUAAAAUAGUGAGAGUACUAAACUUAUGGCAGAAGAAUAACGUAUUUAAGAGUGAGAUUAUUCAGCCCCUUUUGGAUAUGGCAGCCGGGAUCCCACCUCCUGUUGUCACGCCUGUUUUGGCCAGCACUACCACUGCUAUGAGCAAUACUCCAGGAACUCCAGUGACACCUGUUACCCCGGCCAAUGUGGUCCAAGGCUUACCUGAUCCGUGGGUAUCUCAGAUAACAAAUACAGAUACACUUGCGGCUGUGGCUCAGAUCUUGCAAAGUCCUCAAGGCCAGCAGCUUCAACAGUUAAUACAAACCUUACAGAUACAACAGCAGAAGCCCCAGCCUUCCAUUCUGCAGGCUCUGGAUGCUGGUCUUGUUGUUCAGUUGCAAGCUCUUACAGCACAACUUACAGCUGCAGCUGCGGCUGCCAACACUCUCACUCCCUUAGAACAGGGAGUCUCCUUUAACAAGAAGUUGAUGGAUAGGUUUGAUUUUGGGGAAGAUUCUGAGCAUAGUGAAGAGCCCAAAAAGGAAAUUCCAACUUCGCAACUUUCUCACGUUUCAGAAUCUGUGAACAAUUCCAUUUUUCAUCAGAUAGCAGAACAACUACAACAGCAAAAUCUGGAACAUCUCAGACAGCAGCUCUUGGAACAGCAACAGCCUCAAAAGACCACUCCUCAGGAUAGUCAGGAAGGAACAUUUGGGUCAGAGCAUUCAGCGUCACCAUCACAAGGGAGUAGUCAGCAGCAUUUUCUUGAACCUGAAGUCAAUUUGGAUGAUUCCAUAGAUAUUCAGCAGCAGGAUAUGGAUAUAGAUGAAGGGCAAGAUGGAGUGGAAGAGGAGGUCUUUGAACAAGAAGCUAAGAAAGUGGCGGUUCGCUCAAGAUCCAGAACACAUUCACGUUCUCGUUCAAGAUCACCAAGAAAACGAAGGUCUAGGUCACGAUCUGGUUCUAGAAAGCGUAAACACAGAAAGCGAUCGCGUUCCCGCUCAAGAGAAAGAAAGAGAAAAUCAUCACGAUCGUAUUCAAGUGAAAGGAGAGCCAGAGAAAGAGAGAAAGAACGACAGAAAAAGGGAUUACCUCCAAUUAGAUCUAAAACAUUGAGUGUAUGUAGUACUACUCUCUGGGUUGGGCAAGUGGACAAGAAGGCAACACAGCAAGAUUUAACCAACCUGUUUGAAGAGUUUGGACAAAUUGAAUCCAUUAAUAUGAUUCCUCCCAGGGGCUGUGCGUACGUCUGCAUGGUUCAUCGACAGGAUGCAUUUCGAGCUCUUCAGAAACUCAGUUCUGGAUCGUAUAAAAUUGGGUCCAAGAUCAUUAAGAUCGCAUGGGCUUUAAACAAAGGUGUAAAAACAGAAUACAAACAAUUCUGGGAUGUGGAUCUUGGAGUUACAUAUAUACCAUGGGAAAAAGUUAAAGUGGAUGACUUGGAAGGUUUUGCAGAAGGAGGCAUGAUUGAUCAGGAGACUGUAAAUACUGAGUGGGAAACUGUGAAAAGCUCAGAACCUGUUAAAGAGGCGGUCCAGACAACUCAGAGCCCAACUCCAGUUGAAAAGGAGACAGUGGUUACAACCCAGGCAGAGGUUUUCCCUCCUCCUGUUGCUAUGUUGCAGAUUCCAGUGGCGCCAGCUGUGCCUGCAGUUAGUUUAGUCCCACCAGCAUUUCCUGUGUCGAUGCCAGUUCCUCCUCCUGGAUUCAGUCCAAUCCCUCCACCUCCUUUUUUACGAGCAAGUUUUAACCCUUCACAACCACCACCUGGUUUUAUGCCACCUCCAGUUCCCCCACCUGUUGUGCCACCCCCUACGAUUCCACCAGUAGUACCAACAUCUUUAGUACAGCCAUCAUUAUCCAUAACCCCGGAAACUGUGAAAGAUGUUGGAUUUGGUAGCCUUGUUAUACCAGGCGGUUCUGUUGCCAGCAAUCUUGCUGCUUCUGCUCUGCCAGCUGGAAAUGUUUUUAGUGCUCCAACUAAACAAGCAGAGCCUGAAGAAAAAGUACCUCAUCUUAUAGACCACCAGAUUUCUUCUGGUGAAAACACCAGAUCAGUGAUUCCAAAUGAUAUUUCAAGUAAUGCUGCAAUUUUAGGAGGACAGCCGCCAAAUGUGACAAGCAAUUCUGGAAUUCUGGGAGUCCAAAGACCAAAUGUAUCAAGUAAUUCUGAAAUUCUUGGGGUCCGGCCAUCUAAUGUUUCCAGUAGUUCUGGGAUUAUUGGACCCCAACCACCAAGUAUUCUAAAUAACUCUGGAAUUUUGGGAAUACAGCCACCCAGUGUGUCAAGUAAUUCUGGACUUUUGGGAGUGCUACCCCCAAAUAUACCUAACAAUUCUGGACUUGUAGGAGUACAGCCACCAAAUGUUCCAAAUACUUCUGGACUUCUGGGAACACAGCCACCAGCCGGACCUCAAAACUUACCCCCUUUAAGUAUCCCUAAUCAAAGGAUGCCCACAAUACCAAUGUUAGACAUUCGUCCAGGACUAAUACCACAGGCACCUGGGCCAAGAUUCCCCUUAAUACAGCCUGGACUUCCACCCCAACGGGGAAUCCCACCCCCAUCGGUACUUGAUGCAGCUCUUCAUCCACCACCCCGUGGACCUUUUCCUCCAGGAGAUAUUUUUAGUCAGCCUGAAAGACCUUUUCUAGCUCCUGGAAGACAAAGUAUAGACAAUGCUACUAACCCAGAAAAAAGGAUACCACUUGGGAAUGAUAACAUUCAACAGGAAGGAGAUAGAGAUUACCGGUUUCCUCCUAUAGAAACCAGGGAAAGCAUUAGUAGACCUCCCCCUGUGGAUGUUAGAGAUGUGGUUGGGCGGCCUAUAGAUCCAAGAGAAGGUCCUGGACGGCCUCCACUAGAUGGUAGGGAUCAUUUUGGAAGACCUCCUGUAGAUAUAAGAGAGAAUCUUGUGAGGCCAGGUAUAGAUCAUCUUGGUCGAAGAGACCACUUUGGCUUUAAUCCAGAGAAGCCCUGGGGGCAUAGAGGAGAUUUUGAUGAGAGAGAGCAUCGGGUUCUACCGGUCUAUGGUGGUCCAAAAGGUUUACAUGAAGAAAGAGGUAGAUUUCGGUCUGGAAACUAUCGAUUUGAUCCUAGAAGUGGUCCUUGGAACAGAGGAUUUGGACAAGAAGUUCACAGAGAUUUUGAUGACCGCAGAAGACCCUGGGAGAGGCAAAGGGAUAGGGAUGACAGAGAUUUUGAUUUCUGCAGAGAAAUGAAUGGAAAUCGUCUUGGACGAGACAGAAUUCAAAACACUUGGGUCCCUCCUCCUCAUGCUCGGGUUUUCGAUUAUUUUGAAGGGGCCACUUCUCAACGAAAAGGUGAUAAUGUGCCUCAGGUUAAUGGUGAAAAUACAGAGAGACAUGCUCAGCCACCACCUUUACCAGUACAGAAUGAUCCUGAACUUUAUGAAAAACUGACAUCUUCAAAUGAAAUAAGCAAGGAGAAGAGUGACACAGUUGCUGAUAUAGAAAGUGAACCAGUGGUAGAAAGCACAGAAACUGAGGGGACAUAAUCAUCACUCAGUAGGUUAAUGGUGAAAUGGCAGGUAAUUCACACUUUUGGACAGAGCACACCGCCCCCGUGGAAUCACCCUACAGAAGAGGCCACCUAUAAAGGAUGUCUGACACCUUUAAGAUCAGUGUUUCUCAAUGUGUGGACCAUGGAUACCUGUAUUAGAAUACCCAAAGGAUUUGUUUAAAAUUCAGGCUGAGCCCCUCCCAAGACCUAAUAGAGCUAAAAGCUUUGGGAGUAGGUGGAGGAAACCUGCAUCUUUACCCAGCAAUCCAGGCAAGAUGAUGAUGAAUGAAGUCCUGGCAGCUUCCUGUGUCUCAGGCCUUGUAGAAAUAAAUGAGACAGACGUGCUUCAAAGUUCUAAUGUCCAUCACAUCGGAUCUUGUUUAAGGAAGCGUUAAAAGGAACCCGCCGUUCCCUAUUGAGAAGGCUCUGUGCUCUCAGGCAUUGUUUCUGAUUGAAUCCAGAGGUUGCAAGCAUGCCUCCCUGUAUUACCUGUUGGAGCAGGUUUAAUUUUAUAAAUUUUAAACACAAACUCUAUGAGUUUCUAGUUCAUAAUCGUUCUUUUUUGGGAUCCACUCAGAUGAACAGUAUUGCAUCUGUAAGAGAUACCCACUUCCACAGGACCAGAUUUGAUUGGAAUAUCAGUGGCAACAAACUCCAUCUGUAGCAUCAUCCCGUACCGGUGAUGGAAAGGACAGAUGGCAAGGAAACACUUUGGGGGGAAAAAAGUCAUAUUGUGUUGGACCUACAGAUUACUAGGACCAUAGCUUUAGGGAACCAAGGCUUUUUUCUUGAACACAAUCUCUGUAGACUGUGUAGUUCUUGAUUGGUGGCUUUAAUCCAUUAUCAUUAGGUAUCCCCUUGAACAUUCUCAAACACUGAAAGUCUUAAGCUUUCAUUAAAAAAGAAAAAGUAAAUGCAGCUUUCAGAAAAUCCAGGGUUCCGUAUAGUCUUCUGAGUGUUUCACUUCAGCCUUGCUGUCCUGUUGUUACAAACAGCAGGUACCUGGGUGGUAGACAAGAAGCCUUGUGGGAUAGUAAGGAAACGAGGAUGAAGAAACAUAUCACGUCAUAUCCUAAACAUACUUUAUAAGUACAUUUCUUCUUAGCUUCUUAUUCAGGCAGAGAUGAUAAAAGUUUGCUGCAAGUAUCCAGAAAUUGUGUUUUGGAAAUUAUCAGUGUUCACCAUACCUGCAGGGAAGAAAAAAAUUACAAAAACUCAAAUAUGAAUACCCUUUACACCCAAAAGAAUAUUUUGAUCAUUCUUUUAUUUGUUUUGGCUCUGUCAAAAAUUAAAGUGCUUGGAAUGCUGUAGUCUGUGGUCUCUUGAAAUUUAAUCAAUGAGAACCUAACAUUUUCACAGUAUGCUGUCACUUUGGACAUUCAUAAUAAAAAUGGAAAUUCA